UUUGCCCUCCCGGAUCCGGGGGCGGAGCCGAAGCGCGCACUGCGCCUGCGUCUUCCGCCCGGCCCCGCCCCAGCGGCCGUGCCUCCGGCGCUCCGUCCUCCCGCCCGGCCAGGGACGAGGCGGGGCGGGUACGCGGACACUGCGCCUGCCCGCGUAGGCCCCGCCCCCGAUCGGCCCCGCCCCCGGCCGGCCCCGCCCCGCGCCGCGCGAGGCCCUGGGAGGGGCGCAGCGUCCGGCGGCGUCGCUGGCGGCGGGCGGCGGGGCCGCGGGAGGGGCGCGGGGGCAGACAAAGCCGCGGUAAUGAAUGGAGCGUCCGCCCGCGCCGCCGUCGUCCGCAGCCGGCCGGGAGCCGCCCCAGAGGCCGGGCCGAGGAUUCACAUAUCAAGUCCAAGGAUGCAGAGUGAAUGCGAGAGGCCAGAAGCCAGGGCACCACCCACACAUCUGCUACAGCUGUUGACAUCUGACAGCACGGCCUGAGGCACGAGGACUCAUUAGAGAUGGAGGGACAGCUCAGUGACCAAGUGGUGAGGUUAACGGGAUGAUGCAACAAUGCUAAACAUAAAUGCACCAAAGAACACAACUCCAAAAUGUGACUGGAAUAGAAAGAACUAAGAGGAGAAAUAGACAAUCACAGUGAGAGAUCCGAACACUUGCCUCAGCAGCAAAUAAAGUGAGUGUUGUUCCAGAAUGUGUCCUGACUGACCACUCCCUCUGGCCCCAGUGGCCAUCCUGCCGGAUGGCCGUCUCCUCCCUGGUUGAGCAGCCUUGAGCAAGGGUAGCAGUGGGCAGAGUGUGGAGGCCAGAGGCCUCUCACGUCCACCCACCCCAAAGGCACUGCCCUGGGGGACAGCUGAGUGAGGAGAGAGGGAGACCCUUGAGGCAGGGAGGGGAGAGUUGGAGGGAGUCACGUGUGGGAGUGAUGCCCAGGAGGAGGAGGAGCAGGAGCAUUGUCGCUGGGGGCAGACACAGACAAGACAGGCUGAUGGAGGGAGAGGGGAGGCUCUGAGCCCCAGGUGACACCGUGCUGUACACAUUGCUUUACAGCCUAUCUUUCUAUGUUAGUAAACCCACUUCAUCAUUUUAUAGGGCUCUGUGGCUGUAUUCAGUAUUUUAUCACCAUAAAAAUUCUCAUUGGAGCUUCUGAGUUGAGAGGCAGAGGCGUUUGCAGGGGUGAGUCUUCCCAUCCUCCUGCUCUGACAUCCACUCGCUUCAUUCUAGUCCUUGUUUCUCGUUAGGGUCCUUUGUAGGGAUUUUGUAAUUUUGGUUGGGUUUGUG
RNAcentral lists this long non-coding RNA (1275 nucleotides) under Pongo abelii (Sumatran orangutan). Its description in RNAcentral is "lncRNA (ENSPPYG00000031492.1)". The record is from RNAcentral. Lineage: Eukaryota; Metazoa; Chordata; Mammalia; Primates; Hominidae.